This 252-nucleotide ribosomal RNA is filed under the name uncultured bacterium. Its description in RNAcentral is "partial 16S ribosomal RNA". It matches the Rfam family "Bacterial small subunit ribosomal RNA", at positions 524 to 776 of the family's 1533-position model. The record is from RNAcentral.
UACGUAGGUCCCGAGCGUUGUCCGGAUUUAUUGGGCGUAAAGCGAGCGCAGGUGGUUUAUUAAGUCUGGUGUAAAAGGCAGUGGCUCAACCAUUGUAUGCAUUGGAAACUGGUAGACUUGAGUGCAGGAGAAGAGAGUGGAAUUCCAUGUGUAGCGGUGAAAUGCGUAGAUAUAUGGAGGAACACCGGUGGCGAAAGCGGCUCUCUGGCCUGUAACUGACACUGAGGCUCGAAAGCGUGGGGAGCAAACUGG